GUACACAAAAAUGCACAUGCUGUGAGCUCGAUGAGUAGGGCGGGACACGUGGUAUCCUGUCUGAAUAUGGGGGGACCAUCCUCCAAGGCUAAAUACUCCUGACUGACCGAUAGUGAACCAGUACCGUGAGGGAAAGGCGAAAAGAACCCCGGCGAGGGGAGUGAAAAAGAACCUGAAACCGUGUACGUACAAGCAGUGGGAGCACGCUUAGGCGUGUGACUGCGUACCUUUUGUAUAAUGGGUCAGCGACUUAUAUUCUGUAGCAAGGUUAACCGAAUAGGGGAGCCGAAGGGAAACCGAGUCUUAACUGGGCGUUAAGUUGCAGGGUAUAGACCCGAAACCCGGUGAUCUAGCCAUGGGCAGGUUGAAGGUUGGGUAACACUAACUGGAGGACCGAACCGACUAAUGUUGAAAAAUUAGCGGAUGACUUGUGGCUGGGGGUGAAAGGCCAAUCAAACCGGGAGAUAGCUGGUUCUCCCCGAAAGCUAUUUAGGUAGCGCCUCGUGAAUUCAUCUCCGGGGGUAGAGCACUGUUUCGGCAAGGGGGUCAUCCCGACUUACCAACCCGAUGCAAACUGCGAAUACCGGAGAAUGUUAUCACGGGAGACACACGGCGGGUGCUAACGUCCGUCGUGAAGAGGGAAACAACCCAGACCGCCAGCUAAGGUCCCAAAGUCAUGGUUAAGUGGGAAACGAUGUGGGAAGGCCCAGACAGCCAGGAUGUUGGCUUAGAAGCAGCCAUCAUUUAAAGAAAGCGUAAUAGCUCACUGGUCGAGUCGGCCUGCGCGGAAGAUGUAACGGGGCUAAACCAUGCACCGAAGCUGCGGCAGCGACGCUUAUGCGUUGUUGGGUAGGGGAGCGUUCUGUAAGCCUGUGAAGGUGUACUGUGAGGUAUGCUGGAGGUAUCAGAAGUGCGAAUGCUGACAUAAGUAACGAUAAAGCGGGUGAAAAGCCCGCUCGCCGGAAGACCAAGGGUUCCUGUCCAACGUUAAUCGGGGCAGGGUGAGUCGACCCCUAAGGCGAGGCCGAAAGGCGUAGUCGAUGGGAAACAGGUUAAUAUUCCUGUACUUGGUGUUACUGCGAAGGGGGGACGGAGAAGGCUAUGUUGGCCGGGCGACGGUUGUCCCGGUUUAAGCGUGUAGGCUGGUUUUCCAGGCAAAUCCGGAAAAUCAAGGCUGAGGCGUGAUGACGAGGCACUACGGUGCUGAAGCAACAAAUGCCCUGCUUCCAGGAAAAGCCUCUAAGCAUCAGGUAACAUCAAAUCGUACCCCAAACCGACACAGGUGGUCAGGUAGAGAAUACCAAGGCGCUUGAGAGAACUCGGGUGAAGGAACUAGGCAAAAUGGUGCCGUAACUUCGGGAGAAGGCACGCUGAUAUGUAGGUGAAGCGACUUGCUCGUGGAGCUGAAAUCAGUCGAAGAUACCAGCUGGCUGCAACUGUUUAUUAAAAACACAGCACUGUGCAAACACGAAAGUGGACGUAUACGGUGUGACGCCUGCCCGGUGCCGGAAGGUUAAUUGAUGGGGUCAGCGCAAGCGAAGCUCUUGAUCGAAGCCCCGGUAAACGGCGGCCGUAACUAUAACGGUCCUAAGGUAGCGAAAUUCCUUGUCGGGUAAGUUCCGACCUGCACGAAUGGCGUAAUGAUGGCCAGGCUGUCUCCACCCGAGACUCAGUGAAAUUGAACUCGCUGUGAAGAUGCAGUGUACCCGCGGCAAGACGGAAAGACCCCGUGAACCUUUACUAUAGCUUGACACUGAACAUUGAGCCUUGAUG
RNAcentral lists this ribosomal RNA (1773 nucleotides) under Escherichia coli. Its description in RNAcentral is "partial 23S ribosomal RNA". It matches the Rfam family "Bacterial large subunit ribosomal RNA", at positions 375 to 2136 of the family's 2925-position model. RNAcentral also lists the same sequence under 1 other name. The record is from RNAcentral. Lineage: Bacteria; Pseudomonadati; Pseudomonadota; Gammaproteobacteria; Enterobacterales; Enterobacteriaceae.